RNAcentral lists this ribosomal RNA (376 nucleotides) under uncultured bacterium. RNAcentral describes it as "bacterial SSU rRNA". It matches the Rfam family "Bacterial small subunit ribosomal RNA", at positions 524 to 898 of the family's 1533-position model. The record is from RNAcentral.
GACGGACCACACGAACGUUAUUCGGAAUUACUGGGCUUAAAGGGUGCGUAGGCUGUGCAGAAAGUUGGGUGUGAAAUCCCUCGGCUUAACCGAGGAAGUGCGCCCAAAACUACUGUGCUGGAGGGAGACAGAGGUGAGCGGAACUUAGGGUGGAGCGGUGAAAUGCGUUGAUAUCCUAAGGAACACCGGUGGCGAAAGCGGCUCACUGGGUCUUUUCUGACGCUGAUGCACGAAAGCUAGGGUAGCGAACGGGAUUAGAUACCCCGGUAGUCCUAGCCGUAAACGAUGAGCACUGGAUUGGAGGGUCCUCCAUAGCCUUCCAGUCGUAGCGAAAGUGUUAAGUGCUCCGCCUGGGGAGUAUGGUCGCAAGGCUGAA